Molecule: long non-coding RNA, 628 nt
Filed under: Pan troglodytes (chimpanzee)
Lineage: Eukaryota; Metazoa; Chordata; Mammalia; Primates; Hominidae
Description: long non-coding RNA NONPTRT017848
Source: RNAcentral
CGAGGGUUGGGGGGCCCAGUGAAGAAAGUUGAUGCCAACAGAGGCCAUAUGAAGUGUGGACUCCAUGCAUCCCCUGCAUAUAUCCAAAAGGAGGCCUUCUCUGUUUCCUGUCUGCUUCACCACUGGGCUGUGAGCCUUAAAGGAUUUUAGAGUGAAGUGCCUACCAUGAGAGAGGCAUUCUAAUGGAUGCUUGGAUGUGAAAUGAACAAAGCAGGAAGCAUGGCACUGGAAUCUGCUUGGCUUCUGGGGAGCCCUCAGGAAGCUUACAAUCAUGGUGGAAGGCAAAGCAAGAGCCAACGUAUCACGCAGUGAGUUUUAAAGUUUUAAAAUUUUUUAAACUUUUAAACAACCAGAUCUUAUAUGAAUUCAGAUGGUGAUGGGGAUUGUGCUAAGCCAUUCAUGAGGGAUCUGCUCCCAUGAUCCAAACAUCUCCCACCAGGCCCCACCUCUGAUACUGGGGAUGACAUUUCUACAUGAGAUUUGGAGGAGACAAAUAUCCAAACCAUAUCAUUCUGUCCCCUGGUCCCCCAAAUCUCAUGUCUUUCUCAUAUUGCAAAAUACAAUUAUCCCUUCCCAACAGUCUCCCAACAUCUUAACUCAUUUCAACUCGUUAAUCAAGUCCAAAGUC